This 745-nucleotide long non-coding RNA is filed under the name Serinus canaria (Common canary). Its description in RNAcentral is "lncRNA (ENSSCAG00000001747.1)". The record is from RNAcentral. Lineage: Eukaryota; Metazoa; Chordata; Aves; Passeriformes; Fringillidae.
CAACCCAACCAGGGUCAACCAAACCAAACCCAACCCAACGAAAAGUCAACUAAGGUCAACCCAACCCAACCCAACCCAAAGGUUAACCAAGGUCAACCAAACCCAACCCAACCCAAGAUCAACCCAACUCAAAGGUCAACCCAAGUCAACCCAACCAACAUCAACCCAACCCAACCCAACUCAAAGUCAACCCAACCCAACCCAGCCCAAGGUCAACCCAACCCAACCCAACUCAAAGUCAACCCAACCCAAGGUCAACCCAACCUGACCCAAAGUCAACCAAACUCAACCCAACCCAAUCCAAGGUCAACCAAACCCAAACCCAACCCAAGGUCAAUCCAACCCAACUCAAAGUCAACCCAACCCAACUCAAAGUCAAUCCAACCCAACUCAAGAUCAACCCAACCAAAAGUCAACCAAGGUCAACGAAACCCAACUCAAGGUCAAGCCAACCCAACUCAAAGUCAACCCAACUCAAGUCAAGGUCAACCAAAUCUAACUCAAGGUCAGCCAAGGUCAACUCAACCCAACCCAACCCAACUGAAGAUCAACUCAACCCAACAUCAACCAAGGUCAACCCAACACAAAGUCAACCCAACUCAAGGUCAACCAAGAUCAACUCAACCCAACUCAUGGUCAACCCAAGUCAACCCAACCAAUGGUCAGCAAAGGCCAAACCAACCCAACGACCAACACGAGUCAAGACCGGACAAUCGAUGGUCAAAGACCAACCCAGUGGUCACCU